RNAcentral lists this ribosomal RNA (254 nucleotides) under uncultured bacterium. Its description in RNAcentral is "partial 16S ribosomal RNA". It matches the Rfam family "Bacterial small subunit ribosomal RNA", at positions 524 to 776 of the family's 1533-position model. The record is from RNAcentral.
UACGAAGGGGGCUAGCGUUGCUCGGAAUCACUGGGCGUAAAGCGCACGUAGGCGGAUUGUUAAGUCAGGGGUGAAAUCCUGGAGCUCAACUCCAGAACUGCCUUUGAUACUGGCGAUCUUGAGUCCGGGAGAGGUGAGUGGAACUCCGAGUGUAGCGGUGAAAUGCGUAGAUAUCUGGAGGAACACCGGUGGCGAAGGCGGCAUCCUGGACCAACACUGACGCUGAGUGAGCGAAAGCCAGGGGAGCAAACGGG